RNAcentral lists this long non-coding RNA (2781 nucleotides) under Homo sapiens (human). RNAcentral describes it as "non-protein coding lnc-LRRC47-78:26". The record is from RNAcentral. Lineage: Eukaryota; Metazoa; Chordata; Mammalia; Primates; Hominidae.
GCCACCUGAAUGCUGCCUUAUCACAAGCCAGAUACAUACUGGUCUGUAGGGUAACUCCCCACUGUUGAUCCUCUGAGAUGAUUGUGGACUGGGUGCUGUGAGUCCUGCCACUUUGUUUAAGUGAAUGUGUCUUUUGUCCAGCUCAGCCGCCUCGGAUCUCGCUGCCACCAGCCUUACUGCACACCCGUGCCACCCGCCCUUGCCCCGUCAGCCUCAGCCUCAGCUCAUUCUCUCAGGCAGUCCCAGCAUUGGCACGGUACCUCCUCCCGCUGUGGGCCACACGUCUCUGCUCCCUGUCAACCCUCCUGCCAUCAGCACCACCACCAGCGACUUGUCUGCCCGGGAGGAUGCAACACCAUCUGCCUCCACCGGCCACCUUUCAGUGUUUCCUGCUUUCCAAGUAAAGAUACCAGCAGUGCCCUCAGAGCAGACCAGCCAGAGUUUUUCUGAAGCCUCCCACAGGGUGCUCCCCGGAGGAGGCCCGAGAUGCUCUCGUGACUUUGGAGCCGGGGUGGCUGGCCACCUUGGCCUGGGCAUCUUUGGGGUGGGCUUCGGGAGCCCGGCACUGCUGCAGAGUGUGGUGGAUGAGAACAGCUGCUGCUUGCUGUACGUGGUGGAGGACCAGCUGUGUGAUGUGGAGCAAGCCUUCAGAGCUGAGCAUUUGGGCCAACACCAGAGUGGUUCGGGAACAGGAUGCAGACAUUGUCCUCAACGACCAGCGGCACUUUGAUCCGGUUUUCCAGUUCUUGCACAAGCAAGUUUGUGUCAGCCACGCCCUGGGGAGGAUCCACUGGAUCACCGCCGUCACUGCCUGUUCCCGGCGGCCUCUCCGGCUUCCCUAAAGAGAGCAGCUUCCCUCGAGACCAGAAGCCAGAGCUCACCCUCCCUUGUGUCCAGGUGGGACUUUCUACAACGCUGCUGUGCACGACGUGGAUGCCGUAUGCAUGUUGCUGGGGGAAGCCACUCCGGACACUGUGUUUUCUCUGGGACAUGUCUUCUGCCCAGAUAUGGCCGCCUUAAAAGAUGCAGAUGCUGUUGUGAUCAGCAUGAAGUUUCCCUGUGAGGCCGUGGUUAGCGUGGACAUCAGCCAGCACUGCACAGACAGCUGCGACCAGGACGUCAGCCAGCACUGCACAGACAGCUGCGACCAGAGACUGGAGGGAAAUAACCUCCUGAAAUCACCAAAGAGCAGUUCCUCAGGGCCUUCCGGGUGACCGUGGCCGUGGAGCAGUCGUGGUGAAACCGGUCAGCUGUGGACCUGCCCUGCGAAUCGGCAGAGGCCUCCGUGGUGAAGACAGAAGCUCCGUGAACCAACUCGAGGCUGGAGCCAAGAUCCUGCCUGAUAUCCAGUUGCCUGUUUCACUUGUUACUGUUACUGGGAGAGGGAGACAAAACCUCAUGGCAAUCUUGUCCUCACUGGAGACUCAGAAGGGGAAGCAUUGGGAAACCAUGUAUGUUUCAUUUCUGGUUUAACCAGGCUUUUCAGGAUGGGACUUCAGACCAAGGACACAAGUUGGGCUUGCUUAGGUGUUUUGUGUUGUGCGCAGGCCUCAGAGAUGCUCUUCCGGUCAGAGUUCCCUUGGCAGGGCCUUGGAGGCCUCUGGUUGGCUCUCUCAGGAAGAGGGCAGGUCAGGGAUUGGGCGGUGUAAAUUGACUCAGAAACCUGCGGUUUCAGCUUUUCUGUGGCAAACAGGGCCGAGGGCUGGUGAAGCUGUUAAGGCUAAAUGUCGCAUGCAUGAGGCGGGCUGCAGGCCUCCUUAGGCCUUUUUUGGGGUAAUUACACCAGUAUUUAAAAACAUUUUUUUUUGUUUGUUUUGAGAUGGAGUCUUGCCCUGUCACCCAGGCUGGAGUGCAAUGGUGCGAUCUCGGCUCACUGCAACCUCCGUCUCCCAGGUUCAAGCGAUUCUUCUGCCUCAGCCUUCUGAGUAGCUGGGAUUACACGCGUGUGCCACCACGCUCGGCUAAUUUUUGUAUUUUUAGUAGAGAUGGGAUUUCACCAUGUUGGCCAGGCUGGUCUCGAACUACUGACCUCGUGAUCCACCUGCCAUGGCCUCCCAAAGUGCUGGGAUUACAGGCGUGAGCCACCAUGCUCGGCCUAAAAAACAAUUUUCUUGAAGAAUCCGAUUUUGUGCAUAGUAAUGACACAGCACCAUUCCUGAGAAAUAGGAAAUAUAUGUGUGUGGUAUGAAAAGCCCAUAUUCUGUUCUUGUCACCUGAAUCUAGGCUUCCUCUUUGGAUGUGAACGCGGGAAUGAACAGUGGCUGUUUUCCACCCAAAGGGGCGUGGAGACCUUUUGGAAACGGGCUUUCUCCUUUCCAUUUUGCAGCCGGGGGCGGGUGGAAACCUUCCUUCGAAGGGUAGUGCCUUGGGGAGCAGCAGACCUGCUCUGAGUCCAGCUUAGCUUUCCAAAAUUCUGUGUGGAACUUACUGGAGAUGUUUUUAUAUAUUUGAAAAUAAUGGCCUGUAUUUCUCACGCUAUACUUAAAAAAAAUAACUAACCUUUUAAACAAAGAUAUUCAAACUCACCCUUGUGCUGAAAGCACUCACAUUUCUGUGUUCAUUCCUGAAAGGGCGUUUUAGAGUCCCCGUUUCUACGUUCUAUGUGGCACCCUCUUGCCGAGGGAACAUCCAGAAUCCCUCCACUUCCUGUCUAGUUUGAGGCCUCAACACCUUCAUGAUCCAGAGUCCUGCGGCUAUGAGGGGGUGGGCCCACCACCGCCCAGCCCUCCUUGGUGGACGUGGGGACAGGUUUUGCUGAGAAACGGGAGUGCGUUCUGUGUC